UCGAUCCGUGUGCGGGAAAACCGCAUGCACGGUUCGGAGGGCGGGGCGGACCGAAAGCCUGUUCCUACCCCUAU
Molecule: non-coding RNA, 74 nt
Filed under: Candidatus Kentrum eta
Lineage: Bacteria; Pseudomonadati; Pseudomonadota; Gammaproteobacteria
Source: RNAcentral